UUGCCUGUUAGCAGAACCUGUUCUACAGCACAACUAACGAUCGGCGUAUUGUAGCACUUUAUUGUGCUUAUUUAAUAAAUACUGCAUUGGUUGUAUGAUGAUAACCGAUGGAUAGAGUCCAAUCGGUUCGUUACUUUUUAUUUAUUCAAUGUUCAAAUGAAGACUGUUGGUAAGUGACCGAUCGUCACAUGCAAGUGAGAUCGGUCGCUCAAUGGUUUUGAUUAGUUUGCAUUAUUAUUCGGUAACUUUUGCAAUAGCUUAUAUUUGUAUUGCCCUCUAGUGGGCCAUAGCCAUCACAAUGAAACUGUUUGUCCCGGUUGAGCAUUUGAUUGAUGUUGAAAAUCUGAUUGAAAUAGUGCUCUUUGUCUGCUUUGAUUCGUUAUGAUUCGUUUGAUUUUUAGCAUUUUGAAUCGAUCCUCUACGAAAAUGUUUGAUUACAAAAAUGAGUUGAAUAUUAGUCAAAAAACGGUGGAUCUUUAAAGAAAAUUGGCUUUUGAAUGAGGAUAGUGAAUUUAUUUCAUUUUUUGUUCAAAGAGCAAUCUAUAGAGCAUAUACUCUUAUAAUAAUGAUAUAAAUCUGUACAUGUAAAAUUUUACUUUCGCUUUAUUUUUAAAAGAGGAAAUUCCAAUGAUUAAAAACUAAAAAUUUUACUUUCGUGUCAAAAAAAAAUUCAAAAUGAUUGCGAACAUUAACAGCGGUGUAAUAUUCUCCGUCCUGCCGAUGAAUGCGAUCUUCAUAGCAAUCAGUUCUUACAAUGGGGGUGUUGUUGGGUAGCAAAAUGGAAUUGUGGGUCCGUCAUUAUUAGGAAAUUGAUCUUGAAGCCAACGAUAAUGUUUUUUUAAGUCUGUGUAACCCAUAUAUGGUUUGAAUUUAUGACUCAAUAGUCCGACUGCCACCUGAUUGCCUUCUCAAUUUGUAUGGAUGAGCGGGCUUCCUAUGAAUAUGAAUGAUUGAAAUGUGAAAAAUAUCAACUUGAAGUUCAGGAUUGCGAAAAUAACACCACACAUACCGGAGUCCCCCGACUCAGAUGUGCCCACCGUAUUUUGAAAUUGUACACGAACUAUGUCUCCUGCACUGGCAAGGACAUUGAACGGGCCGUCUUUACUUCUACAGGACCAAAGGAAGCUCUCUUAUACUUUCUGUUCGUCUGGCAAGCGUUAUUACACAUAUGUCGUGAUGGUACUCGCCCUUUUUAAAAGCAUCAUGACACUAAACGUGUGAUUUGUCUAUAAUAAAAUAUUCUCCAUUUGUAAGGUAUAUAGUUGCCUUGCUCAAUUCCUUGUAGCCGCAGUGUGCGGCUGAUAAAAUCUAAUAUGAAGAAAUAAAUUAGCCAAUGGACAAUAUCUUUUCUUUUAUUUCCGCUGAAAAUUUGACAAAAUGAGGUUCCACAGAAUUUUUUUAAAACUCAAUUUUGUUUAAUUCUUUAUCAGCAUUCGAACGUUAGAUGCAAUUUUCAAUUUCCGUGGACCAAUUUCAACAAAUUUCUAGAAUUUCAUUUCAUUUAUUUUAGAAAAUCAAAACUGAAUUUAUUUUUUAAAAAAAGUUCCCUACACUUAUAUGUUGCUUGGAAAUAAAAAAAACCGGAACAUUCUACAUUGAAACUAAAGAAUCCUUCGUCUACAUUUAUUUUUACGUAGUAUGGAUAAUCAGCACUAUUUACGCGAGCAUUUAUUCUCUCGGUUUCUUUAUCAAACUUCAUUCCUAUAAAAUCUUCAAUAGAACUUUUUGUCGACACUUGAGUUUGUUCCUCGUUUGAUUUAUUCGUUACAUGCUCAGGUAAGGUUAUUUCGGCUGUUAAAAAUGUUACAAAUGAAAUUUCUCACACAAGUUUCUUUGCUCAUGAGCAAUUGCACUCUUCGUCGACACACAACAAAACUCACCUUUUUUUUCAUUUCGUCUGUAUGUAGAUUGUACAACUCCUAUAGCACAGAGAAAUGUGAGGAGUAUUACAACUUUCAUGUUGAAUAUUUAAAUAAACAAAUUCGCGAACAAAAGUUACACAAAUUUUCACUUUGAUGAUAUUUUCUUUCAGAACUAACGUUGUCACUAAUUGAAACACCAUCAAUUUCUGCUCUGCUAGCAAAGCAAACUAUCCGAAUAUGUUUCAAUUUGUACGUGCUUUUUCUUAACUUAAUAUUGGCAUGACGUUAUUCAAAUGCUAGUGCACUGAAUAAUUCACAACAAUCGACGAUUCUGAUAUUACAACUUUGUGAACGUGACUUUUUUCUAAACUUUACAAAGUCAUCUUCGAUGUAAGAUAGAUUUGUUUGUGCACGACUAUGGGUGGAAUGUUUUUGUCUCGUUUAGCUGCGUUAGCUGUUUUGAUUGUGUGCACAUUCGAUUCACGGCGAUCACUUUGAGCUCGUUCAUUCGCUUCAACAAUCGAUUGCUGUGUAUUCGUUCCAGUUGCUGCACCUUUGUUGUUGUUUUUGCAUACAUUGACGAAAUCCUGCAUCCGAGGAAAGUCCGUGUUUUCGUCGUCGGCAUCAAAUUCGUCGCAAGACAUUUGAUUCGUUCUGCUUGUGCUGUUUGAAUUCUCUUUCUGAAUGUCCGGCACUGUUUUGUUUGCCUUCUUUCUCUUUCUCUCUGACGCUUUCGAUUGAUCCUUCGUUUCGUACUCGAGUAGUUUUGCAGCGAUUUGCUUGAAGAAGAAAAAACACAUUAUAUGGUUUACUUAUUGCUUUAUUGUCAUUUGAUAAAAUUGUAUUAACAGUGACUCCCCGUACUAUCCAUUAAUCCAUUGACAGUGGAACACCUUCUAAAAUACAUAUGAUGAUGUUAUAGUUAGUUUAUUACUAAAGAAAUAAAACAUGUCAUGGUCUUAGAGUAUAUUGUAAAUUUUCUAUAAUCUAAAGUUAUGUCAAGUGCUUGCUUUGACUUGCUACUUCUUCUUGUGUUGCACGUAACCGUUUACGCUCUCUAGCGAUGAAUGCUGCGCUGUCUGCAUAAUCGCCGUAUAUGCAGUCAUCAUCAUCGAUCAAUAAGGAACAAUUAUCUAAACACGCUUCCGCGUCUUUAGACUUAUUCAGAUCUGCGUUCGUCACAGGGGCACUUGGUUUAAUCGAAGAAACUAAAUCUGAUUUUAUUGUGUCCAGUGGGUUAGUUGUCCAGUCAUAAUGUAAACGUAAGAGAUUAAAUGCUCGUUUUGUGGUAGCUGCAAAUCCUUCUGCUCGUCUGUUGAAUACUUCUAAUUCUUUUGGAUUGUUUUUUACGCUGUCAUAUGUAUUUCUUAAAUAUUGAGCUAAGUAAUUGUGUUUACUGAUAAUGUUUCUUUUAUAUCCCUUAUAUAAUUCAUCGUUUUUUGUCAAUGGUCGAUAUUCGUAUUGUCUGAUUUUGUCGAAUUCCUGCGUAAAUGAUUCGGACAGUAACUUAUAUUCUGCGUAAUUCAACUUGUGUGACAUUACUUGAAUUUUUUGAUAAACGAUGACAAAAUUCAAUUCGAUUUUUGACUCAUUGCAGAGAGAGAAAAAAAAUGUCAAUAAUAAAAAAUAUUUACGAUAAAGUGUUCAAAAUAAUUCAGUGAUUUAGAUAAAUUCAAAAAUAAAAAAGAAAUCUAAGAAUUAUGUCACAAACAAACGUCACAAAAAUAUUUGACUAUCAGAAGUAUUGAAAAAAUCGUCAAAAAUGACCGACAAAAACAUCAAAACAAUCGACUAAAUUAUAAACAAAAAUUAUCGCUAUAGCAUAUAUGAUUGAAAUGGUUUUCAUCUUAUGGUUUUAUAGAUAACGUCUGUAAUUGUAUUUUUUGUUGCGUAUAAAUGGUUUAUAUAUGCAGUGCUACUUCCGAAAUUAUAUGAUGUUAAAUCGGAAAUAAGGUUCCAACCAUCAGCUCAGCCAUUUGAUGCAUACCGGAUCAGUAGUAUAGAUAUAUGGUUGGACGAAAUGUACAUUUCUAUACUACUCGGAUCUUCAUUUAUGGUUUUAUAGAUAACGUCUGUAAUUCUAUUUUUUUGUUUUUAGUUUACUAUUCCCUUGGAACAAGGGACAUCUUGAAUCUAUUUCUUUGUUCAUCAUUUACAAAAGAUUUGUUGAACAUUCUUAAAAAUAUUUUUUGUUCACGGAUCAAAGGCUACCAGAUAGGCAUAGAUUUGCCGGACAUAUGGGCUUCACCCAACCAUUGAAUACUAAAUGCUUUGUCAAUUAUCAAAAUUGGAAUUCAUUCCGAUUAAUUGUCAUUUCCAAAGCAAUAGCUUGAAUAUUCUCAUCAAUAUUGAGUCUAGCCGAUAUUAAACCGAUAUUUGUAAGAGCUUAAAGAUAUGACGUUCAAAAUACAUGACGCCCAUUUGAGAAUACAAGUAAUUCAUUACAAAAUCAUAGUUGACUAGUUAAUAGUUGCUAUUGAUUCAGAAAAGAACAGCAAACGAUUUUGCGAGAUAAUCGCUGGUCGAGCUGUUUCAAUCCUUCAGUUGGUAAAAAAAAUCUUAUUGAUACAAUUAUCAUAGACUAGCAGCCUCACCUCGAUUAUAGAUUGAUUGGGCCAAAUAUCAUAUGUUCCGAGAUUCAUACUUCUGAAUCUAAUUCAGUUGGUAAACUAGAAAAUAGUUUUCAAUGCUUUAAAAAACAGCAACAAAAGCUUCGCGUGCUACUCGCUGGCUGUUUUUUUCUAAACAAUUUAAUAUUAUAGAAUACCUCAAGAAAUAAGUCCGCUCGUGUUGCAUUGGUUAGCUAAUCGGUGCUUUUCAUUUGAGCUUCGUAGCCUUGUGUUCACGUGUUUGAUUCAAUACAAAGGUAGUGGAAGAGAAAUAAAAAGAAAAACUCCUGUGAUCAUUUUUGAAUCUACGAACAUUUUGGAAUGACAAAUAGUAAUGUAUAUCAACUGUGUUCGAAUUCACUUGAAUAUAUAAAAAUUAUUGUUUGGAACUUGAAAAAAAAUACCAAAAAAAAACCGAAAUUAUCAGGAUAUUACAGAGACUAGUAAUUUGAACUGCAACUAUGAAUUAACGAUAUUAAAUCAAUAAAUAUUUGGCCUAAAACACAGUUUGAAAAUAAGUAGUGUUCAUAAUCAAGAUUAUUAGCUAAAAAUUGUCGAAGCGACUUUUUUCUUCUUCCAAAUCAAAGUGAUUUUGCCAUACAUAAACCAGAGAUAUAAGAACUAUGUAGUAGAUAAGUUGAAUUUGUUAACUAUAUCAGAUAAGACACCAACGCCCGUUGCAGCAUAUUUAUGUCAUGGUCCGCCACAAACACAUGGGACCACACCAAAAAUAGAAAAAGUACCAUCGAUCAAUUUUGUGAAGAGCCAAAAGAAAAUUUAUGAAAAUGUUUGAAGGAAUGAGUUAUGCCACCAAUUCAGUUUAAAAUCAGUCGAUGAAAAGCGGCUGAAGAGCAUUGCUAAUCGAAAUGCAUGUAUUCAUCAUCGAAAUGAACAAACUCAUUGCGCCAUUGGUCACAUAUAACCAUCGUUGAUUGCGAGGCUCAGAAGGAGACCGCGCUUGUUAAAUGCCGAAAAUUCAUCAAAAACCCGUUGAAUCUACGACGAAAGAUGAAAAAGCAAAAAAAUGAAACGGAUUCCUUGGGCUGGACUUCAAUAUAAAUUCGAUCACAUUGCCUUCAUCGUGCUCACACGUGUGGUGGAACGACUCAGGUGUGGAUCGAAAGUCAGAUACGCGUCAUCGCAUUUGUGUCUUCAAAGUCAAACAUAUUGGAUCAAUAGCCAAGCUUAGCAGCCCUGAUCUUUGAAUGAAUUCAGCUCGGAUCAACUAAUAACCAAGAGAGGAAUAAGAGCAACCGACGACCACAAUUCACCAUAUCAAUCACGAAAAGAAAGGUGAAUGAUUGAAUGAACUUCAAAAUCGUUGACAGCUGAUCUUUGUGCUUGCUUCGAAUAAGGCUCUCCUACAUUCUGUAAUACAUUGAAUAGACAUUUUUGCAUCAAACAAUUAUCGAACCGAUCAAUACGAGAAUAAUAUUUUGCGAGUUGAUUGUAGAUAUAGAAAUAGAUUGGCUUAUAUCUUGAAUACCAAACUUCAAAUAAUUGAGGAAAAUCCAGUGUUCAUUAAUUCAAUUUCAUUUAAUUUAUUAUUUUUUUGAAGCAGUACUUUCAAAUAAACAACUCAAGUUGCAAACAAUAAUCGGAUUUGAAAAUAUAAAGCACUCUAAUUAAGCAAAAUGAAAUACGCUAUUUGCUAUGCACAAAAAUGUCGACAUUUUCAAAUGUCGAUCAGAAACAUGUUUAAGAUCUGAGUAUGUUACAGAACAAGAGUUAAGUAGAGUUAAGUAGAGUUCAACACUUGUAACAUUGGUCUGAAAAUAAAACUCAUGAAAUCAAAGGAUAAUUAUGAAUAGAAUUAUAA
Molecule: long non-coding RNA, 6290 nt
Organism: Sitodiplosis mosellana (orange wheat blossom midge)
Lineage: Eukaryota; Metazoa; Arthropoda; Insecta; Diptera; Cecidomyiidae
Exons: 3
Source: RefSeq, a predicted model, not a curated record